RNAcentral lists this small RNA (106 nucleotides) under Chryseobacterium sp. FH1. Its description in RNAcentral is "Flavo-1 RNA". It matches the Rfam family "Flavo-1 RNA". The record is from Rfam by way of RNAcentral. Lineage: Bacteria; Pseudomonadati; Bacteroidota; Flavobacteriia; Flavobacteriales; Weeksellaceae.
CCAUAGCCCCGAUGGGAACGGCAUCCUUUUUUGUCUUAUCCGAAAACUUGUUUUUGAUGACAAAACUUCUAAGACAAAAAAGAUAUAGUGGACAGCGGGAUUAAGC